This 3157-nucleotide long non-coding RNA is filed under the name Sus scrofa (pig). RNAcentral's name for it is "lncRNA (ENSSSCG00000056672.1)". The record is from RNAcentral. Lineage: Eukaryota; Metazoa; Chordata; Mammalia; Artiodactyla; Suidae.
GGGUUGAAUUGAAGCUGUAACUGCCGGCCUACAUGACAGCCACAGCAAUGGGGGAUCCAAGCCAGGUUUACAAACUACACCAUAGCUCAUGGCAAUGCCAAAUCCCCAACCCCCUGAGGAAGGCCAGGGAUCAAACCCACAUCCUCAUGGAUACUAGUUGGAUUCAUUUCCACUGCGCCACAAUGGGAACUCCUGUGUGUGUGUACUUUUAAAGUAACUAGUAAAAGUCAUAGGAGGCAGGGAAGUAUAUCAAAAUGAAUAUGGGCUUUUAAAUCCAAAAGCUUUCAGUUCAAGCCUUGGUGCCACUCAUAAGUUCUAAGAUGGAAAUUACUUACAUUUUCUGGGUUUAAUUUCCUUCUAUGUAAAGUAAAGACAAUGUGCCAUUGUGAGCACAUUCCUACUCAAGGCUUUGGUACUUGCUGUUCCCUCUGUCUGUAAUGCUUUUCCCAUUGAUAGCCACUACUUGUUUCCUCUCAACUUUCGGUGUUUACUCAAAUGUUAUAAUCUCCAUAAGGUUUUUCCUUACCACCUGUUUAGGAUAGUUACACCUCCAACUCUCAUUAACUCCUCUUCUUAUGCUACUUCAUAUUUCUUCAAAGCACUUUCAUAAUCUGAUAUUCUAAAUUUUUUCUUAUUUUUUAUUAUCUGAUUACCCCAGCUAUAAUUUAUGCCCUAUGGCAACAGGACUUUUAUCUGUUUUUUCGCUAAUGUAUCCCCAGUGCCUCUUUUAGAACCCAAUACAUGGUAAGCACUUAAUUAACAUUUUUGAAUUAUGAGAAUUAUAUAAAGCAAUGAAUGUAAGUGCCUGAUAAUAUGCCUUUUGCAUAUAAGUAUUCAAUACAUAUUCAUGAUCACUAUUAGUAUUUAGUAAGCCACUGAUAUAUUUUCUAGGUCAGCAAGUAGUUAUUGUGCACUUAAUAGACCAAACAUAAAGAUUCAUCAGGAAAAAAAAAAAGUCUUUCUUUAGGAAGUUUCUGAAGUAAUAUUCUGGAAGAGAUAGAUACAUAAAGAGAUUCAAAGUAAUAUUAAAUGUGCAUUUAGCCCAUGUGUUAGGGAAAGUAACAUUAAUAGUUGUAACAGACAACCCCAGAAGUCUUAGGAGAUUUCCAAACAAAGUGUUACUUACUCCCAGGGUGAAGGGCAAAGCUGUGCUCCCCCUUGUCAUUCAGGAACCUAGGCUGUUUACAUCUAAUGGUAUAGCCAUCUUCAGGGCUUCCUAUUUCUCUGCAAAAGGAGAGAGAGUGUGGAAGGUCACCUGAGAGACUUUAGGGGCAGUCAUUCCUCCCACAGUCUAUUGACCAGAAUUUAGCCAAAUUUCACCGCCUAUCUCAGGGGUAGGAAAAACAAUCCAGCUGUGGUCUGGAAACAGAGGACACGAAUCGGGUGAACAUUCCAGCCAGUCACCACUCCACAAACCAAGGGAAAUUUUCAGGGAAAAUUUUCUGGAAGAGAUAGAGAAUUUUUAAUACGUGGACCCAAGAGGAUCUGAUUUCAGAUUUAGAUCACAGUUCGUUAUGACCUUAGUUAAUUUACUCAAAUAUCUCUUUGGAGUGAAAAAUGGGAAUAGUAGUAGAAUCUAAUUCAUAAACUUGCUAUGAGGAUUAAAUGUGUGGAGUCUUAAGCAUAGUGUCGAGACACAGGAAGCGUGUAAUGAAUAUUAGCUGUCAGGAAGAAGAGGAAGGAACAGAAAAGAGGAAAAGGAAACUGAGUUGGAAAACUAGACACAGAAAGGAUGGGUUAGGGAAUGAAGAAAAGGGCUUUAGACAGGCAUAGAAAUUGUGCACAGGGACAAAACAGCAACAUGUGUUCUUAAAUGUGCAGGAAGUUCAAUGUGUUUGCAGAAUAAAAUUCUGUUUACUGGAAAAUUGUGUCAGUCUGGAAGGGGUGAGAUCCCAAUAGGCCUUGAUGCCAUGAGGAGUUUUAUCUUUGAAUACAGGGAACUACUGAUAUUUUAGUCAAACAAUGUGUUUCAGAUUUGUCCUUCAGAGAAAUCUUUCUGAUGACUGCAUCAGACAACUUUAUGGUGGGAAAGCCUAGUGUUAGGGAGAGUGCUUAGGUGCUAUUACUGUCAUCUAGGUUAGAUGAGCAGAGCAGAACCACAGGUGCAGUAGAGGGGAGGGGUGCAAAACUUGUUUCAUAGAAAACAGUAAUUUGAAAGAACUAUGUUCAUUGCAGAACUAUUCACAAUAGCCAAGACAUGAAGCAACCUAAAAGUCCAUCAACAGAGGGAUGGAUACAAGAGAUAUGGUAUAUUGGAAUAUAAUGGAAUAUUACUCAGCCAUUAAAAGAAUGAAAUAAUGCUAUCUGCAGCAACAUGGAUGGGCCUAGAAAUUAUCAAACCAGUGAAGUAGGUCAGACAAAGAAAGAUAAGUGUCAUAUGAAAUCACUAAUAUGUGGAAUCUAACAAAAAUUGUGCAAAAGAAUUUAGAAAACAGAAACAUAUUCAAAGAUUUUUUUAUAAUGAUUUUUAUUUUUUUCCCAUCAUAGCUGGUUAGAUUCAAGAUUUUGUAAACAAAUUCAUGGUUACUGAAGGGGAAAUGUGGGGCAGAAGGACUAAAUUAGGAGGUUGGGAUUAACAUAUAUGCACUACUGCAUAUAAAAUAGGUAACAAGGACCUACUGUAUAGCACAAUGUAAUCUAGUCAAUACUGUGUAAUAACCUACAUGGAAAAAUUAUCUGAAAAAGAAUGGAUAUACGUAUAACUGAUGCACUUUGGUGUAUACCUGAGAUGAACACAACUUUCUAAAUCAACUAUACUCCAAUAAAAUUUAUUUUUUUAAAAAAGCCAAUGAGGGACUGUUGGCCAUGAAAAUAAAUAUAAUUAACCCAUCUGGAAAAAACCUUCACCAUUGUUACAGAAGGUUUCUGCUUGAUCAGACCAACUAGAGUAACAGGCAAAUAAAUUAAGAGAGAUUUAAAAAAAUAAAAACAAAGACUUAUUUCAUAGGAAGCUCAGUAAAAGUAGGCGACUGAUUGAAGAAAGACAUGUGGAGCAUCUCCCAGGAAUUUGGCUUGGCAACUAGGGGAACAAUUGUUGCCAAAAAUGGAGACAGACUCAAGCAUAACUCAAAAACCCCUGGGCAUAACCGCAGUCUCACCCAUUUCCUCUCAGCACUGCAUUUUAUGUGCUAGGAUUUAAUUUCCCAAAUUUGCCCAU